CGCUGCUGCUGCCCUAUUACCUGAGCGAUACGCUCACCCCUGCACUUCGGGAUGGGCGAGGGGUUUGUAAGCGGUCAGCUCUCAUCUGUCCUGGUGACCUUACUGCCAGGGAGAUGGUGGUGACGGAGACGGACACUUCCCAAGUUCUUACUUCUUGCGGCAGUCCCUGGUUGGUUUUGCCUUGACAAAUCCCACCGAUGUGAUUUAAUAAGGGUUUUUUUAUGAGAAGGAUGUAAACUUACUGGAUCAGGAGGAAUGAGUGUAGCAACAUGACUGAAAUAAGUAGGAAAUUGCCAGACCAUUACGGGUACAUGUGACGUACACCCCUGAAGUUCAAAUCCAGCAUUUCAAGCUUUCACUGAAUUCUAAUUCAGAACUCAAAUCAAUAAAAAGCAGGUUUGAGAACACUACAAUACUCAAAAGAAAGACACAUUUAAUACUUCAGGACUGGUAUUUCUUUCUUGUAAUUAGGAUGAAGAAGCAACUUUCCUGGCAUUUAUUGAUCAUCCUCUCAAACUCAACAAAUUCUUGGUGUAGUUUUGGCAAGUCACUGAUAUCGUGUGGUGUCAGAGAAACAACACAGGUGCUUAUAACUUACCUGCUAGCUUCAAAUGCAAUAAUGGUAGGUUGGGGCACAGUGCUGAAGUGAAGGAAAUGCCAUGAGCUUUGCUCUCUUGACUUGUCUUCCGGAAAACACAAACCUCUUGAGAGAACAGGAAGCAUGGAAACGCUUUGCGACAGUCCUUGUGAACCUUCUUCAUCCUCAGGAUUGCUCUGUGCGUUUUUUCCCUUUAUCCGUUCCCCGUUAUAGAUGGGAGCAGGAUUCUGGUUCUCAGCCUGCAGACCACGAUGGAAUUUCUGGUUUUUAGGAUCAGUCGAAUGCAGAAAAUAAUUAUGAAUUAUUUACUGUAAUGUGGAAGGCCAUUAAUGCAAAUUUAAAUAAAAUCUGUAUUUAAUCAAAUUGAAGGUGUGCUUUAGUACUGAAAACCUUGGCUGCAGCCAGACUGUUAAUCUGAAUUACUGCGGAAGGUGUGAGAGGUGAAGGUUUUUAUGGGCAAGUCAUCAAGCUAAUGCGCGCUUUUGGGUUCACAGCACCUAGUUUAGGAGAUAAAACUCGCUGCUGUUUGGAACCUCUUGCAUCUGAACCUCAGAGAAGCAAUUUCAGUGGCACAUCUCUGUUUCCUAGCGGUGCUCGUGGAGCUGAUGAGUAACGUGGGGGGCCGUGGCCCUUGGAGCAGCGCAGCGUCACCGAGGCACGUGCCACUUCCAAGUCACGGGAGCACGCCUGGAAAAUGAGGCUCCUCUGUAUAGGACAUUAACUCAUAAAUCAUGCUAAUAUUCUCCCUGAUAAAUCUCCUACUAUGACAACCUUUUGAUACUCAUCUGUUAUUAAAGACAAAAAGCACUUAAUUCUGCUGGCUAGAGUCUUCCAUUUCUAUACAGAGCAUUUAGCUUCUGAGGGGCAAACGUGCAUACGCUGUACUUCGGGGUUCUGUGCAGCAAGGCCCAGAGGCUCACAGGGUACUUUCUGUAAAAGUCCUGUUUUUUUCUUGUUGUUUUGUUCUUUACCUCAUAAACUUUAACAUUCUGAAAUAGCUGGGCACAGGUUUGUAGGUAUUAGAGCAGAAAGGGAGAGAGAAGGUGGGAUUCACACACUGCCUCAUCCAAGUUGCUCAAAUUCUUUGUUUACAUAAACUUGAGAAGAAAGACAGAAAGCAGAUUAUUUGGGUUUAUUACAUUUCUGCUUUAAGCAGUCAUUCAUUUCUAGUUCUCACAGCUUUAACGAGGGCACGAGGGGGAAAACAGGGUUAGGCAAACUGUGCCUUCAGCGGAUCGAUAUGGGGAAAGCAAGUUUCAGCAUCCAGCUGCCUGCAGUAAAUGAUGCCCGAGUAUUUGGUAACUUCAGCUGGUCAGAUUUAAAGUCUGUUGUUUUUAUUUUUAUUUUUUACUUUUAGUUUAUUUUGUAUCUGAAAACUUGGAACAAAUUUAAAUCAGGAUUAAGAUUUCACUUUAUUUUAAAAUAGCACUGCCUGCAGUAGUGUAUGAUUACCUCAAUCUUCGCUGGCAUAUCUGAGUAGCUACAAGUGAAUAGUGGAAUUAAUGUCUGGACAAAGGAUGGUGCACUGUACAUACGGACAGUGACCUUCAUGUUUGAAGCUCCCCACCCAACUGCAUAUGUAUGUGGAUGUGUCAUGCAAUUUUGUUUUUUAUAAAAAUAAAACUUUUAAUAUUGCUGCCCAGUGCAUCUGAUAAUCAAGACUGAACAUACUGGUGAUUGCUCAAGGUUUUCAUCUACAAAGCUUGCUGCAGCUUGGUGUUAACUUACAGGGUUAUUUAUAGUUUUCUGUUACAUGCUGCAUCCUGUGUUUUGUUAUAAUGAAAAAGCUGUCUUCAUAUAACUAAGUUGUUAUAUUCACAGAAUACAUGGUAUGAGGUUCAGUGCAUCUAGUUUAGGGCUGUCACACAAAUAAAAAUGAAGGAUGUACACUGUUUUUUUCCAAA
This is a long non-coding RNA of Oxyura jamaicensis (ruddy duck), 2502 nucleotides long. RefSeq lists it as uncharacterized. The record is from RefSeq and is a predicted model, not a curated record. The transcript is spliced from 2 exons. NCBI's taxonomy places the organism in Eukaryota, Metazoa, Chordata, Aves, Anseriformes, Anatidae.